RNAcentral lists this ribosomal RNA (69 nucleotides) under Noviherbaspirillum humi. The record is from RNAcentral. Lineage: Bacteria; Pseudomonadati; Pseudomonadota; Betaproteobacteria; Burkholderiales; Oxalobacteraceae.
CAGGACCGUGAAACGACUUUGCGCCGAUGAUAGUGCUGCAACCAGUGUGAAAGUAGGUCAUCGUCAGGC